AGUAAAAAUGGAGUUUCAAGAGACUGAUUCUCACUGGCACAAUUCCAUGGAAGUCAGAUUUCUAAGCUGCAAGUGUCGUUGCUGUUCCUGGUUGUGCCUAUGAUGUCUGUGGUUGUACAGACUUAACAGAAAGUGCUUCAUUCCUCACUUCCCAGUAUUCCAUCCACACGAGAGCACUGAUGGCAGAAAUCUUCUUGUGCUCCCCUGGGCUGGUGAGUACAUGUGGGGAAUUACUCACGUCAAGUAAAUGAUGGCACUCAUGUGAAUGGUGCACAUGGAAUAUUCUUUGAAAUUAUUUUGUGAUCAAAGCAGAGAGAGGAAAUAAAAAUGAAUGUAUUUGCUGAAUACUGCA
Molecule: long non-coding RNA, 352 nt
Filed under: Anas platyrhynchos platyrhynchos (common mallard)
Lineage: Eukaryota; Metazoa; Chordata; Aves; Anseriformes; Anatidae
Description: lncRNA (ENSAPLG00000019154.1)
Source: RNAcentral